UGUCGGGGUAACGGCCCAACAAGCCAGUAAUCGGUACGGGUUGUGGGAGCAAGAGCCCGGAGUUGGAUUCUGAGACACGAAUCCAGGCCCUACGGGGCGCAGCAGGCGCGAAAACUUUACAAUGCGGGCAACCGUGAUAAGGGAACCUCGAGUGCCUGUAUAUGCAGGCUGUCUGGGUGUCUAAAACACACCUAAAGAAAGGGCCGGGCAAGACCGGUGCCAGCCGCCGCGGUAAUACCGGCGGCUCGGGUGGUGGCCACUUUUAUUGGGCUUAAAGCGUUCGUAGCUGGGUUAUUAAGUCCCUUGGGAAAUCCGACGGCUUAACCGUCGGGCGUCUAAGGGAUACUGGUAAUCUUGGAACCGGGAGAGGUGAGGGGUACUUCGGGGGUAGGAGUGAAAUCCUGUAAUCCUCGAGGGACCACCUGUGGCGAAGGCGCCUCACCAGAACGGCUUCGACAGUGAGGGACGAAAGCUGGGGGAGCAAACCGGAUUAGAU
This 496-nucleotide ribosomal RNA is filed under the name uncultured microorganism. RNAcentral describes it as "bacterial SSU rRNA". It matches the Rfam family "Archaeal small subunit ribosomal RNA", at positions 234 to 734 of the family's 1478-position model. The record is from RNAcentral.